This 19-nucleotide transfer RNA is filed under the name Vidua obtusa (broad-tailed paradise-whydah). RNAcentral describes it as "partial tRNA-Val". The record is from RNAcentral. Lineage: Eukaryota; Metazoa; Chordata; Aves; Passeriformes; Viduidae. RNAcentral also lists the same sequence under 1 other name.
CAAGACGUAGCUUAAAUUA